GCAACCAUUAAGAAAUUGACCAACCGGAACAGAACGCGGAAACAAAUUGCCAUAGAAAAUGUGAAGUAGAAUAUUGAUCGGAAUUAUAAGACACUUUCCCUUCUCACAUCAGCUUUUUCUAAAGGUCAAAGAGGGGGUCAGUCGGGUUCUAAUGAUCGAGUGUUUGUUUAGGUUUCAAGAGGAAGGGUCACACCACCACCAGGGCCAUAAAACUACACCUGGAAAUGCCCACAACUCCUAAGAAAGUCUUGGCAAAUUUUUGUUCUUGGGGGGCGGAAUGUUUUAUAAUACGACCAAUUAUGUUGAAUCAGAAACCAAAACAGGAAAAAAAGAAAACUAAUAAUGAAACUACAAAACAAGACGGAAUCGGGUUCUAAUGAGUGUUUCUUUGGGUUCACGGUACAGAGGAAGGGUCACACCACCACCAGGGCCAUAAAACUACCCCUGGAAAUGCCCACAACUCCUAAGAAAGCCUUGGGAAAUUUGUGUUUUUGGGUUCAUGGUACAGAGGAAGGGUCACACCACCACCAGGGCCAUAAAACUACCCCUGGAAAUGCCCACAACUCCUAAGAAAGCCUUGGGAAAUUGUGUUUUUGGGUUCAUGGUACAGAGGAAGGGUCACACCACCACCAGGGCCGUAAAACUACCCCUGGAAAUGCCCACAACUCCUAAGAAAACCUUGGCAAAUUUGUGUUUUUGGGUUCAUGGUACAGAGCAAGGGCCACACCACCACCAGGGCCAUAAAACUACCCCUGGAAAUGCCCACAACUCCUAAGAAAGCCUUGGGAAAUUUGUGUUUUUGGGUUCAUGGUACAGAGGAAGGGUCACACUACCACCAGGGCCAUAAAACUACCCCUGGAAAUGCCCACAACUCCUAAGAAAGCCUUGGCAAAUUUGUGUUUUGGGGUUCACGGUACAGAGGAAGGGCCACACCACCACCAGGGCCAUAAAACUACCCCUGGAAAUGCCCACAACUCCUAAGAAAGCCUUGGCAAAUUGUGUUUUUGGGUUCAUGGUACAGAGGAAGGGUCAUACCACCAUCAGGGCCAUAAAACUACACCUGGAAAUGCCCACAACUCCUAAGAAAGCCUUGGCAAAUUUGUGUUUUGGGGUUCAUGGUACAAAGGAAGGGUGACACCACCACCAGGGCCAUAAAACUACUCCAGGAAAUGCCCACAACUCCUAAGAAAGCCUUGGCAAAUUUGUGUUUUUGGGUUCAUGGUACAGAGGAAGGGUCACACUACCACCAGGGCCAUAAAACUACCCCUGGAAAUGCCCACAGCUCCUAAGAAAACCUUGGGAAAUUUGUGUUUUUGGGUUCACGGUACAGAAGAAGGGUCACACUACCACCAGGGCCAUAAAACUACACCUGGAAAUGCCCACAACUCCAAAGAAAGCCUUGGCAAAUUUGUGUUUUUGGGUUCAUGGUACAGAGGAAGGGUCACACUACCACCAGGGCCAUAAAACUACCCUUUGAAAUACCUACAACUCCUAAGAAAGCCUUGGGAAAUUUGUGUUUUGGGGGGCGAAAUGUUUUAUAAUACGACCUAUUAUGUUCAAGCAGAAACCAAUACAGGAAAAAAGAAAACUAAUAAUGCAAAUACAAAACAAGAUAGGAAUAGGAAAGAUAAACAAUGAGCAAUAAAAGGAAAAUAAGGAAUAAAGGAGAAGGGGAGGAAGAGGAGGAAGAGGGGAGGAGGGAAACAGCUGAUUGGUUUGUUUUGCAAUGGCGUGAGGUGUGUGGCGACGCUUAACUUUCUUUCAUUAUUUUCUCAUUUUCACGAUGAUAAAGAAGGUUGUUGGUGCAUUGAUAGUGAUGAAAAUGAAGGUGAAGGUCUCAAGCAACAGUGGCAGUGAAGAAAAGUGGGAUGCAUAGCGUGAAAAUGAUGAAAAACGACGUAAAUAUGAAGAAGUGUGACGGCGAGGGGUGAGGUGACAGCCAUCAUUCUUUUGUUAUUUUCUCAUUUUCACGGUGAUGAAGGAGGUUGUGGGUGCAUUGAUAGUGAUGAAAAUGAAGGUGAAGGUCUCAAGCAACAGUAGCAGUGAAGGAAAGUGAGGUGCAUAGCGUGAAAAUUAUGGAAAACGACGUAAAUAUGGAGAAGUGUGAUGGCGAGGGGUGAGGUGACAGCCAUCAUUCUUUUGUUAUUUUCUCAUUUUCACGGUGAUGAAGGAGGUUGUGGGUGCAUUGAUAGUGAUGAAAAUGAAGGUGAAGGUCUCAAGCAACAGUAGCAGUGAAGGAAAGUGAGGUGCAUAGCGUGAAAAUGAUGAAAAACGACGUAAAUAUGAAGAAGGGUUGCAGCCAUCAUUAUUUUGUUAUUUUCUCAUUUUUACGAUAAAUAAGAAGGUUGUCUGUGCCUGUAGAUUGAUUUAAGUGAAGAUGAAGGUCUCAGGGUUCUAUAACAGUGAAGGAAAGUGAGGUGAAGUGCGUGGAUAUGAGGAAAAUGAGCGUAAACAUGAAAAAAAAUGCAGUGUGAUGGCGGCGGUGGUGGUGAUGCGCGAUAUUUUAUUUUGUUAUUUUCUCAUUUUCACGAUAAGUAAGAAGGUUGUUUGUGCCUUCAUCGUAAUAAAAGUGAAGAUGAAGGUCUCAGGGUUCUAUAACAGUGAAGGAAAGUGAAGUGAGUAGCGUGAAAAUGAAGAAAACAAGCGUAAAUAUGGAAGAGAGUAUCGUGUGAUGGCGGAGGUGGUGGUUGUGCACGAUGUUUUCUUUUGUUAUUUUCUCGUUUUCACGGUGAUAAAGGAGGUUAAAUGAGCUUUGACAGUGACUGAAGUAAAGGUGAAGGUCUCAAGUAUCUAUAGCAGUGAAGGAAAGUGAAGUGAGUUACGUGAAAAUUAAGAAAACAAGCGAAAAUAUGAAAAAAAUAUUGGUGAUGGCGGCGGUUGUGGUGGUGGUGGUAUACACGUCCAGUUUUCAUAUUUUCUUAUUUUCGCGUUCAAUAAGGAGGUUGUCUGUGCCUUGAUAGUGACGAAAGUGAAGGUAAAGGUCUCAGGGUACGGGAACAGUGCAGGAAAGUGAGGUGCAUAGUGUGAAGGUGAAGAAAAAUAGAUAAAGAUGAGGGAAAAAGUCGAAUGGCGGUUGGUGAUAAUGAUAGCAGAGCGUCGUUUUCUUGUUAUUUUCUCAUUUUCACGUUCAAUAAUGAGGUUCUGUGAGGUUUGAAAGUGAGUGAUGUAAAGGUGAAGGUCUCAAGGUACGGGAACAGUGCAGGAAAGUGAGGUGCAUAGUGUGAAGGUGAAGAAAAAUAGAUAAAGAUGAAGAAAAAUCGGAUGGCGGUUGGUCCUGGUGAUAGUAACGCGUUGUUUUCUUACUAUUUUCUCAUUUUCACGUUCAAUAAUGAGGUUUUGUGAGGUUUGAAAGUGAGUGAAGUGAAGGUGAAGGUCUCAAGGUACGGGAACAGUGCAUGAAAGUGAGGUGCAUAGUGUGAAGGUGAAGAAAAAUAGAUAAAAAUGAAGGAAAAAGUCGAAUGGCGGUUGGUGAUAAUGACAGCAGUGCGUCGUUUUCUUGUUAUUUCUCAUUUUCACGUUCAAUAAUGAGGUUUUGUGAGGUUCGAAAGUGAGUGAAGUGAAGGUGAAGGUCUCAAGCAACAACAGUAGUGCAGGAAAGUGAGGUGCAUAGCGUGAAGGUGAAGAAAAAGGAACAUGAAGACCAGUGUUCAUAUCUCGUCAGCUGAUCGGGGUGAGUACAAAUUCCAAUGUUUUGUUGAAUUUGAAUUUUUUAGUCUUUUUUUCCUUUUCUUUGUGUGUGUGUGUAUGUGUGUGUGUGUGUUGGGGGGCUGCCACGCUUGGAAUAUUAUAGUUAUUAGUUAUAUCCUGUGAAAAAAAAAUCGUGUAUGCUAAAUUCUUUCCUGUGAAAAUCAUAAAAAAGUCCUAGUUCUAUUCCAAAUUCUUCCCUUUUUCAACCUCAUAUAUUAGGAAAAAAAAAAUACAUUCGUCUAUGCUAAAUUCUUUCCUGUAAAAAUCGUACAAAACUUCUUUCUUCUUUUAUAAUUUUUUGCCUUUUUCGCAUAUAUUAGAAAAAAAUAUUCGUCUAUGCUUAAUUCUUUGCUGUGAGAAUCAUACAAAAAAUCUCUUCUAUUCUAAUUUUUUGCCUUUUUCAACCUCAUAUGUUAGAUAAAAAAAAACAUUCGUCUAUACUAAAUUCUUUCCUUUGAGAAUCAUACAAAAAAUCACUUCUAUUCUAAUUUUUUGCCUUUUUCAACCUCAUAUGUUAGAGGAAAAAUCAUUCGUCUAUGCUAAAUUCUUUCCUGUGAAAAUCAUACAAAAAUCAUUCUUCUUUAUUAAUUUUUUCCCGUUUUCACCAUCAUAAUUGUCAGAGAAAAAAAUCAUUUGUCUAUGCUAAAUUCUUUCCUGUGAAAAUAAUACAAAAAGUCUUUCUACCAUUCUAAAUUAUUGCCAUUUUCAAUCUCAUAGAUUAGAAGAAGAAAAAACAUUCGUCUACGCAAAAUUCUUUCAUUUGAAUCCUUUUAAACAAACAUUCCUCUGUUCUAAACUAUUUCCUUUUAACAUUAUAGAGCAAAAAAAAAAAAAAAAAACAUUCGUCUAUUCAAUUUUUACCUUUUGAACCACAUUAAACAAACAUUCGUGUCGUAAAUCCCUUUUCGAUAAACUUCUGAAUAAAAUAUCUUCAUCUAUGCUAUUUUAUUUAUUUAUUUAUUUAUUUAUUAGCUUUUGAACCACAUUAAAUAAACAUUCGUCUGUCUUAAAUCCCUUUUCGAUAAACUUCUGAUUAAAAUAUCUUCAUCUAUGCUUU
Eriocheir sinensis (Chinese mitten crab) is the source of this 4744-nucleotide long non-coding RNA. RefSeq lists it as uncharacterized. Lineage: Eukaryota; Metazoa; Arthropoda; Malacostraca; Decapoda; Varunidae. The transcript is spliced from 3 exons. The record is from RefSeq and is a predicted model, not a curated record.